UCCCCAUUUUGCUGCUUGUUAUUAAUAAUAAUAAUGAAAUAUAACAGAAUUGUGUGUUGGAGAUAAAUGUAAAGAAUUGUUAUUUCUCAGCAUAUGUUCCAAUAGCCUCACAGUCAGAGGUCUGGGUGCAAGAAUGGGUUAAAUUAGGGCUUAUGGGGGCAGAUUGGGGUGCAGACAGCUGGUGUAUAUGUAGGUAUAGAGUUGGGGUGCAGACAGCUGGUGUAUAUGUAGGUAUAGAGUUGGGGUGCAGACAGCUGGUGUAUAUGUAGGUAUAGAGUUGGGGUGCAGACAGCUGGUGUAUAUGUAGGUAUAGAGUUGGGGUACAGACAGCUGGUGUAUAUGUAGGUAUAGAGUUGGGGUGCAGACAGCUGGUGUAUAUGUAGGUAUAGAGUUGGGGUGCAGACAGCUGGUGUAUAUGUAGGUAUAGAGUUGGGGUGCAGACAGCUGGUGUAUAUGUAGGUAUAGAGUUGGGGUGCAGACAGCUGCUGUAUAUGUAGGUAUAGAGUUGGGGUGCAGACAGCUGGUGUAUAUGUAGGUAUAGAGUUGGGGUACAGACAGCUGGUGUAUAUGUAGGUAUAGAGUUGGGGUGCAGACAGCUGGUAGGUAUAGAGUUGGGGUGCAGACAGCUGGUGUAUAUGUAGGUAUAGAGUUGGGGUGCAGACAGCUGGUGUAUAUGUAGGUAUAGAGUUGGGGUGCAGACAGCUGCUGUAUAUGUAGGUAUAGAGUUGGGGUGCAGACAGCUGGUGUAUAUGUAGGUAUAGAGUUGGGGUACAGACAGCUGGUGUAUAUGUAGGUAUAGAGUUGGGGUGCAGACAGCUGGUGUAUAUGUAGGUAUAGAGUUGGGGUGCAGACAGCUGCUGUAUAUGUAGGUAUAGAGUUGGGGUGCAGACAGCUGGUGUAUAUGUAGGUAUAGAGUUGGGGUACAGACAGCUGGUGUAUAUGUAGGUAUAGAGUUGGGGGUGCAGACACCUGGUGUAUAUGUAGGUAUGGAGUUGGGGUGCAGACAGCUGCUGUAUAUGUAGGUAUAGAGUUGGGGUGCAGAGAGGUGGUGUAUAUGUAGGUAUAGAGUUGGGGUUCAGACAGCUGGUGUAUAUGUCGGGUAUAGAGUUGGGGUACAGAGAGGCGGUGUAUAUGUAGGUAUAGAGUUGGGGUGCAGACAGCUGGUGUAUAUGUAGGUAUAGAGUUGGGGUGCAGAUAGCUGGUGUAUAUGUCGGGUAUAGAGUUGGGGUGCAGACAGCUGGUGUAUAUGUAGGUAUAGAGUUGGGGUGCAGACAGCUGGUGUAUAUGUAGGUAUAGAGUUGGGGUGCAGACAGCUGGUGUAUAUGUAGGUAUAGAGUUGGGGUGCAGACAGCUGGUGUUUAUGUAGGUAUAGAGUUGGGGUGCAGACAGCUGGUGUAUAUGUAGGUA
Long non-coding RNA from Xenopus laevis (African clawed frog), 1407 nucleotides. RefSeq lists it as uncharacterized. The record is from RefSeq and is a predicted model, not a curated record. The transcript has 3 exons. Lineage: Eukaryota; Metazoa; Chordata; Amphibia; Anura; Pipidae.